This is a long non-coding RNA of Trichoplusia ni (cabbage looper), 1758 nucleotides long. RefSeq lists it as uncharacterized. The record is from RefSeq and is a predicted model, not a curated record. NCBI's taxonomy places the organism in Eukaryota, Metazoa, Arthropoda, Insecta, Lepidoptera, Noctuidae. The transcript has 2 exons.
CUUACAAGAGUUUAUUUAGUUGUAGUCUGUGGCAGCAUCGAGACUAAUUCUUUGUUAUGUCUGUGGACGUUUGGGCAAGUCGACUCUUGUUGAAAAUAAAAUACAUGGAAGUUGAAAAUAAAAUGAUGGACGGGUCUUGCAGUUGCAAUUUGCAUUGUCGCGGCCUGCUACUAGUAAAUAAGAUGUGAACGCUGGUUUUAACCUUUGUUUAAUCUGAAUACUUAUCAGCGUCAACAAGCUACAGUUGAGAAAAUCAAGUCUGGUUACUGGGUUUGUGGAAAAAUGUUCCUACACAAUAAAGGAAAACCUUUGUUUAAUCUGAAUACUUAUCAGCGUCAACAAGCUACAGUUGAGAAAAUCAAGUCUGGUUACUGGGUUUGUGGAAAAAUGUUCCUACACAAUAAAGGAAAAAUCAGUCUGCAAUCUAACUUAGCUAAGUUAAGAGUCAAGAAGUUCAGAAAAUUAAAAAGAAAAAUUACACUUUAAAAGUUUUAAGGAUACCAAUGAACAAAACUUUUUUUUUAAAGUUAAAAAGUAAAAUCUUUUUAUUCUGAAAAUCCGCUCUACAGUACAGAUAUGUCAGCAUUGAAUAAUUAUUUGAAAAAGUGGUUUUGUUGUCCUGUCCGUCUGUUUUUAUUCGAUAUUGUUUUGUUGGAGUCAAAAUUGAACACAGUAGCCAUUGCUGCCAGUUAUACAGAUUCACUUAAAUGUGUCUCAAACAUUUAAAAAGUUUGUCUUUUGUUUUUUUUGUUUGGUUGUUUGAUGUUCUUGUUGUUGUUUGUCAUGGAUUGUUGGUCUUGUUAUCCAUUAAGGUUAUUGAUUGUAAAUCUUUGAAAUGUUUGGUUCUUAAAGCUAUUUAUUAUAGGAGGUUCUAGUUCCAAGCGAUGCUCAGUGUACCAUAUCUUAACCCUUAACAAGGCCCAAGAGAACUACACAAUUUACAUAACUUUCAACAAUGGAUUCUAUAUACCAGGGGUCAGCAAGUAGUUUUAAGUAAGGUAGGGAUAAACCUUGAAAAUAUUUACGAAGUCCACUAAAGAAAAAAAAACAAGGGAUAAUAAUUAAGUGUUAGGCAGCUAUUUGUUGUAGGAUUAAAAUUCUGAAAUAUAAAAUUGUAGAAUUAAUGUUAUGAAAAAUUGCAUCAAUGGUCUUGAGCUAAUUAAGUUCUCGAGAAGAACAGCAAAUUCGAAGAGUGCCGUCUAAGUGAGCGUCUGUUAACCCUUGAAUGUUCGAUUUUUUUAUUUCCAUUGAAAAAAAUUAAAAUAUAAGUAGUACUUUAGGCUUACUUUACAGUAAAAAUAGUAAAAAGAAUCUUUGAUAGAUUUUACUGCUUUUUUAUCAAAAAUGUUAAUGUUGUUUUAUAGGUAUGUAUGGGUAUUGUGUCGUACGGGCUCCAACUUUGCAGCAUAGAGCACCGCACGAGCACAACUAUUUGGGGUGCCGGAUUGGUGAAAUGAGAAGGCCCUUAUAAAAACCUAACUUGAUUUAUUGACGCUCCUUUUAGAGGAUAUACAUAUGUAAACAAACAAAGUUUGUUUACUACAAAAACGUGUAGGGCUCCACUGAAGUCCUCGGGGCUCCGUCAACGUCUAUGGGGCUCCGUCGACGUCUAUGGGGCUCUGUCGACGCCUAUGGGGUUCCGCCGUCGGUGAGGGCUUCGCUGUCGCCGCUGAGAGUUUCUUGUCGCCGAUUUCUUGCUGUUUCCCGCUUCUCUUGAGGUGUAGCCGCCGAAUGUGUAGACCCUCUUUUUUUUUUUUU